This is a non-coding RNA of Peromyscus maniculatus bairdii (prairie deer mouse), 579 nucleotides long. NCBI's taxonomy places the organism in Eukaryota, Metazoa, Chordata, Mammalia, Rodentia, Cricetidae. The record is from RefSeq and is a predicted model, not a curated record.
AGGCAACCUGCCACGUGGGGCUGGAGGCUGGGGUUGGGGCAUCAGCAGUGAGGAUGGAGAAGCAGAGACUAACAGCCGGUGAUGGGGUCCAGCUCAGAGGCAUCCUCCAAACUCCGGAAGCUUCCGCUACCUGCCUCUGAAGUGUCUUCUAAAGGGCGCCCCGCCCUCCUGCAGGCUCCCACCUCCCAGCUCUGACCCCAACUGCCUCUCCACAAGACACACACUCUUCCCCCUCGGCCGCCCCCGCCGGAACUUCCGUUCGAGUCCCGGGAACCCAGCCAUCGCGCUGCCGGAAGUAGCCUGGCCAGCAGUACGGAACCCGGAAGCGGGUCCGGGUUUCCCGGCUAGAAGCUGCCAUGUUGCCCACAGUGGGACCACUCCCUGUGAUGCGACGCUGUCACCUGCAGCGUCUGGACAUGACAUGAGAUUUCCAGAUGCCUGCCAGCCAAGCCCUUCUAGCCGACCUGCGUCCUGGAGGAGAGGCAUGCCACUUCCCAUCCCCAUAGGGCAGGGCACACUUCCAGGUGUCGUCUUGGGUAUUAACCACUGUUUGGUUUUAUUAAGAUACAUUUUACUGCC